GUGUCCCGUUAAACCAAAAUAACUAAACUGGAUGAAUAUUGUAGGAGAAAUCUAGAGGAAAGUUUUGAUUUGUGAAAUUGGUUUUCCUGAAAAGUCAUUCAUCCUGCAGAAAGGAUUUAUAACUGUCCACCACCAACUGUCGAGCUAAUGUUGAGCUUCACAGAUGGAAUUACUCAAACACCAUCAAUGCCUAUGUUUUCAGCACAGAUUUCGCAAAUCAUGACACAGCUGUGC
RNAcentral lists this long non-coding RNA (234 nucleotides) under Mytilus galloprovincialis (Mediterranean mussel). The record is from RNAcentral. Lineage: Eukaryota; Metazoa; Mollusca; Bivalvia; Mytilida; Mytilidae.